Molecule: long non-coding RNA, 1492 nt
Organism: Stomoxys calcitrans (stable fly)
Lineage: Eukaryota; Metazoa; Arthropoda; Insecta; Diptera; Muscidae
Exons: 7
Source: RefSeq, a predicted model, not a curated record
CGAACCGACACUGUCAUUCAUAGUUAAUUAAAGAAAAGAAGCAGCAUUGCGGACCGGCCAUGAUGCUGAAAAUUUAUUAAUUGAUUCCAUGGGAGACGAAAUCCAAGUGGAUUGAUACACCUAACUGGUGCCACCAAAAGAGGGGAACUUCCAUGGAUGGAGAGUGUGUGAGGUACCAACAACAAAUCUCCCGCCAGCCAUUUAUGACCAACAAGCAUCAGACCUUAGACGACUGUAAGUUCACCUAAAGUAAGGCUAACUCCAAAGCAUUUGGACAGUCCAUUCACCAACAAAUGCCAUCAUCCUCUGUUACUCAUCAAAAAAGGAAUAGCCUACCCAGACAGCCAAAACGGUUUGUGGGUGCUUCGGAUGAAAUCUAAACUAAUGGAAAGGAAUAUCUCACGCAGACCAUGACCGAAGCGAUGACUGGUGGACACUAGCCGGAGUCUGGGACAGGUGACUAGGAUCACAAACAACCCCCUCGGUCGGACCUAGGCCUUUACCACGCCCGAAAGGACGGCCUCUUCUAGGUACUAAUUUGGAACAAGGAUCCCUAUGGAGACUUCCUACCUGCCUAGAAAGAGCUCUAUCUAUUGGGGAAGGGUAAAUACCAUGUAGUACGGUUGACGGUAUAAUCAAAGAUGAGUACCCUAGAAAAAAAAUGCCUGCCUUUUCAAAAAAAAACUAAUUUCCUUUUUUUUCUUUUAUUUUUAGGUAAUAUGUACGUCCGUCCGUCCGAAGGUUUAGUUUUAAGUAUUAUGUUAAGGGUCUUUGUAAGCCGUCGCCUGGAGCACUGCGGUCUGCGAGUGCUUUUGAAGGAAGUCCCACGCUGGUGCAGAGAUGAGCCGUUGGUGAGCAGCGUUUUUUUGUUUUACUUUUAAUUAGUUUAAGCUUUAGCGUAAUGAUUAAGUUGUUUUCUUUUUGAUUAAGUUUAUAAUUAAGUUUCUCUUUUUUAGUUGGAAAUUUAUUUUUCAAUAAGUGGUUUUAAUUCAGUUUCUUUUUUUUUUUUUUUACUCUUUAGAGCUAGGUAUUAAGGUAGUUUCAAGGAUAGUUUUUAAGGUAAUUUUUAAGGUUGUUUGUUAAUUCAGUUUGUAAGAUGUUUCUUUUUUUCUGUUUAGCUAUCAGAAGCUUUUGUUUUUUUUUUCUCUUUUCUUUUUUUUUUGCAAUAAAGGAAUCGAAUGAUUUUGCUUUGGUCUGUUUUUUUUUUCUUUUAGAAUUCAGAUCAUUUUCUUGUUCAUCAUUUAAAAUAAAAGUGCCUUUUUCAAUGUUAGGCUUUUAGAGGUUUCAUCCCUCUUUGGAUUGUUCGGUUUUGUGUCAUCAUCCACUUGCUAUGCAGUCUUUGUAGCAAUGCAACACAACAACACCAACACUACACGACCGCGGCUGCACUUUUUUUUAAUUCUUUUUUUUUCUUGCUCGUUAAGCUCACUUCCAGUUGUCUUCUCGGCUCACCUCCGGCUUGCUGCACAGUCCAAAUCAAAAAGAAAGAUUU